Long non-coding RNA from Capsella rubella, 431 nucleotides. RefSeq lists it as uncharacterized. The transcript has 2 exons. NCBI's taxonomy places the organism in Eukaryota, Viridiplantae, Streptophyta, Magnoliopsida, Brassicales, Brassicaceae. The record is from RefSeq and is a predicted model, not a curated record.
AUCCCUUGGAUAUUCGCUCGUGGUUUGGGAUUGAUUAGGAGUGGAGAUCCAGAGAAAAUGCUACUGGAGUGCCUAUAGAGUGUUGGUGUCGAUCAACAUCAGUGGUGGGUGUCGCUUGACACCAACGUUUUGUUCCGCGAGGAUAGUUGCGACUCGCGAUCGACACCAGUCAUCACUUAUGGCGUUUUAUGUAAAAGAGAAGGUGUGACUGUGGAAUCAUGGGGAGGAGAAAAGAAUGAUCUAGAGGCUCGUUGGAUGUUUUAAAUAAUAUGCAAUUGCUAUUGUUAGAAAUGCUAGUUCAUUGAAUCUUAAAGCAUGUUAGGUAUGUUGUCUGACUUGGAGUAAUUGCUGGAUUUGUUGAUUAUUGCAGUUUGUUUAUAGGUUUGACAAUUUGAUGUUUUCCGCUGGUCUAAAUAAUUAUGGUUGGUUUG